RNAcentral lists this ribosomal RNA (669 nucleotides) under uncultured soil bacterium. Its description in RNAcentral is "bacterial SSU rRNA". It matches the Rfam family "Bacterial small subunit ribosomal RNA", at positions 18 to 736 of the family's 1533-position model. The record is from RNAcentral.
CAUGGCUCAGAUUGAACGCUGGCGGCAUGCUUUACACAUGCAAGUCGAACGGCAGCGCGGGGCAACCUGUGGGCGAGUGGCGAACGGGUGAGUAAUAUAUCGGAACGUACCCAGAAGUGGGGGAUAACGUAGCGAAAGUUACGCUAAUACCGCAUACGAUCUACGGAUGAAAGUGGGGGACCUUCGGGCCUCAUGCUUGUGGAGCGGCCGAUAUCUGAUUAGCUAGUUGGUAGGGUAAAGGCCUACCAAGGCGACGAUCAGUAGCUGGUCUGAGAGGACGACCAGCCACACUGGGACUGAGACACGGCCCAUACUCCUACGGGAGGCAGCAGUGGGGAAUUUUGGACAAUGGGCGCAAGCCUGAUCCAGCAAUGCCGCGUGAGUGAAGAAGGCCUUCGUGGUUGUAAAGCUCUUCUUGUCAGGGAAGAAACGGGAUUGGCUAAUAUCCAGUCCUGAUGACGGUACCUGAAGAAUAAGCACCGGCUAACUACGUGCCAGCAGCCGCGGUAAUACGAUAGGGUGCGAGCGUUAAUCGGCAAUUUACUGUGCGUAAAGUCGCGCGCACGCGGGUUUUGUGAGCUCCGACGAUGAACAUCCCCGUGGCUCAACCUGCGGAACUUGACGUUAGCAGACUGCAACGGCUGGUAGUACUGGCANUAGCGGGGGCUA